UCUACCGAAAUUAAUAGAAUUUCUUUUUUCUGAUCAAUAUAUUUGUACUCAUUACCUGCAUGUUUGAAUUUGUACCGAUAUUCUAAGGAGAACGUACAUGCUGGUCUGUGUUAAGGCGUCACGAACGAACGACAGGCGUCAUGGAAAAGCUGAAAAAAACAGAUGUUGCAAGAUCGGGAGUUAAAAGGGUCCUGCACACUCGCUAGGCGCUAAACUGACUCACUCAGCUUCCCGUGAAGUUCCGCAAGAUGCACAAAACAAUGGUGUUUGGACUUCUCUUUUGCAUCACAUUUCUCAUGAUAACAGAAGGCAAUGGGGCGGCUCCGAGUUGCGGUCACGACGGCGAUACACGUCCGUUUUGUAAAGGAAAUAAGAAGAAUUUCAAGAGACGAGUCUGUGUCGCCGCUCGACGAUUGAACUGCGAACAAUUCCUGCAAGACGAGAACGUAAUCAUGCACCCAAGAGUUCAGCAAACCGCUCCCAAAUAACAACUUGAAAACACUCUGUAACGUUCUGGAAACAUUCUGUAGCCUCAAAUAAAGUGGGACGAUAAAAUUGACUUAUUACUAAUUAAUAAAUUAGAAAUUAAAGUUUCAGUUUAUUUUGAAAACUUCA
This is a long non-coding RNA of Orbicella faveolata, 615 nucleotides long. RefSeq lists it as uncharacterized. The record is from RefSeq and is a predicted model, not a curated record. Lineage: Eukaryota; Metazoa; Cnidaria; Anthozoa; Scleractinia; Merulinidae.